UACGUAGGUGACAAGCGUUGUCCGGAUUUACUGGGCGUAAAGAGCGCGCAGGCGGUCGUUCAAGUCGAGUGUGAAAGCCCCCGGCUCAACUGGGGAGGGUCACUCGAUACUGAUCGACUCGAAGGCAGGAGAGGGUAGUGGAAUUCCCGGUGUAGUGGUGAAAUGCGUAGAUAUCGGGAGGAACACCAGUGGCGAAGGCGACUACCUGGCCUGUUCCUGACGCUGAGGCGCGAAAGCUAGGGGAGCAAACGGG
RNAcentral lists this ribosomal RNA (253 nucleotides) under uncultured bacterium. Its description in RNAcentral is "partial 16S ribosomal RNA". It matches the Rfam family "Bacterial small subunit ribosomal RNA", at positions 524 to 776 of the family's 1533-position model. The record is from RNAcentral.